UGCUCAGCUUCUGGGGAGGCCCUCAGGGAGGUUUUCCUCAUGGUGGAAGGCGAAGCAGGAGUAGGCACGCCACAUGGUGAGAAUGGGAGCAAGGGGUGAGGAGGGGCCACACACUUGCGAACAACCAGAUCUGAGUGAACACACUCAUCGCCAAGGAGAUGGCGCUAAGCCAGUUAUGAGGGAUCCGCCCCCAUGACCUAAACACCUCCUUGCAGGCCCCUCCUUCAACACUGGGGAUUACAUUUCGACAAGAGAUUUGGAGGGGACAGCCCAACUAUGUCAUUAUCCCCCUGACCCCUCAAAUCUCAUGUCCUUACAUCACAAAAUAGGAUCAUCUCUUCUCAACAGUCCUCUCAAUGUCUUGACUCAUUCCAACAUCAAGUCCAAAGUCCCAAGUCCAAGUCCCUUCCACCAAUGAACUUGUGAAAAUCAAAACACAUUAUUUACUUUGAAGAUACAUGAGGGUGGAGGCAUUGGGUAAACAUUCCCAUUCCAAAAGGGAGAAAUCAGCCCAAAGGAAGGGGCUACAGACCCCAUGCAUGUCUGAAAUCCAGCAGGGCAGCCAUUAAAUCUUAAAGCUCCAAAAUAAUGUCCUUGGACUCCCAGUCCCACAUCCAGGGUACACUGGAGUGAGGGGUGGGCUCCUAAGGCCUUGGGGAACUCCACCCUUGUGGCUUUGCAAGGUUCGCACCCUGCAGCUGCUCUCAUGGGUUGGAGUUGUGUGCCUGCAGCUUCUCCAUGCUCAAGAUGUAAGCUGCCAGUGGCUCUACCAUUCUGG
RNAcentral lists this long non-coding RNA (778 nucleotides) under Homo sapiens (human). RNAcentral describes it as "HSALNT0177851". The record is from RNAcentral. Lineage: Eukaryota; Metazoa; Chordata; Mammalia; Primates; Hominidae.